CCUACGGGGGGCUGCAGUAAGGAAUAUUGGUCAAUGGACGGAAGUCUGAACCAGCCAUCCCGCGUGCAGGAAGAAGGUCCUAUGGAUUGUAAACUGCUUUUAGCAGAGACGAAACGCCUUCAUUUAUGGGGGUUUGACGGUAUCUGCGGAAUAAGCACCGGCUAACUCCGUGCCAGCAGCCGCGGUAAUACGGAGGGUGCAGGCGUUAUCCGGAAUCACGGGGUUGAAGGCGUGGGUUUAAGGGGGAUGUGAAAGCCUGUAGCUUAACUACAGAAGUGCCAUUGAUACUGAUUGUCUUGAAUUGGGUUGAGGUGAGCGGAAUGGGACAUGUAACGGUGAAAUGUUUAGAUAUGUCAUGGAACACCGAUGGCGAAGGCAGCUAGCUGGGCCUUGAUUGACGCUGAGGCACGAAAGCGUGGGUAGCGAACAGGAUUAGAUACCCUGGUAGUC
This 450-nucleotide ribosomal RNA is filed under the name uncultured bacterium. Its description in RNAcentral is "partial 16S ribosomal RNA". It matches the Rfam family "Bacterial small subunit ribosomal RNA", at positions 338 to 795 of the family's 1533-position model. The record is from RNAcentral.